CCGGCGCACGGGUGAGUAACGCGUAUGCAACUUACCUAUCAGGAGGGGAUAACCCGGCGAAAGUCGGACUAAUACCGCAUGAAGCAGGGGCCCCGCAUGGGGAUAUUUGCUAAAGAUUCAUCGCUGAUAGAUAGGCAUGCGCUCCAUUAGGCAGUUGGCGGGGUAACGGCCCACCAAACCGACGAUGGAUAGGGGUUCUGAGAGGAAGGUCCCCCACAUUGGUACUGAGACACGGACCAA
Molecule: ribosomal RNA, 240 nt
Filed under: uncultured bacterium
Lineage: Bacteria
Description: partial 16S ribosomal RNA
Rfam family: Bacterial small subunit ribosomal RNA
Source: RNAcentral